Molecule: small nucleolar RNA, 130 nt
Organism: Thalassophryne amazonica
Lineage: Eukaryota; Metazoa; Chordata; Actinopteri; Batrachoidiformes; Batrachoididae
Source: RefSeq, a predicted model, not a curated record
UUGCACAGUUCAUUGUCCUGCUCUUCUUUUCCUUAAGAGCAGUGAUAUUUCUGUUGUGCUAGAAAAUGCUGGAGGUAAAUUAGCAGAGUGGCUGCUUUGUGCUUCCUCUGCCAGUCCCCUUCACACAUAA